RNAcentral lists this ribosomal RNA (405 nucleotides) under uncultured bacterium. RNAcentral describes it as "bacterial SSU rRNA". It matches the Rfam family "Bacterial small subunit ribosomal RNA", at positions 355 to 776 of the family's 1533-position model. The record is from RNAcentral.
UGGGGAAUAUUGCACAAUGGGGGGAACCCUGAUGCAGCGACGCCGCGUGAGCGAUGAAGUACCUCGGUAUGUAAAGCUCUAUCAGCAGGGAAGAAAAUGGACGGUACCUGACUAAGAAGCCCCGGCUAAAUACGUGCCAGCAGCCGCGGUAAUACGUAUGGGGCAAGCGUUAUCCGGAUUUACUGGGUGUAAAGGGAGCGCAGGCGGCGCGCCAAGUCUGAUGUGAAAUACCGGGGCCCAACCCCGGGGCUGCAUUGGAAACUGGCGUGCUGGAGUGUCGGAGGGGCAGGCGGAAUUCCUAGUGUAGCGGUGAAAUGCGUAGAUAUUAGGAGGAACACCGGUGGCGAAGGCGGCCUGCUGGACGACGACUGACGCUGAGGCUCGAAAGCGUGGGGAGCAAACAGG